CAGGCCUAACACAUGCAAGUCGCACGGGCAGCAAUGUCAGUGGCGGACGGGUGAGUACCGCGUAGGAAUGUGUCCAGAGGUGGGCGACAACCAUGGGAAACUGAGGUUAAUACCGCAUAUGAGCUGAGGCUCAAAGCAGCGAUGCGCCUUUGGAGUAGCGUGCGUCCGAUUAGCUAGUUGGCGGGGUAAAGGCGUACACAAGGCGACGAUCGGUAGCUGGUCUGAGAGGACGACCAGCCACACUGGGACUGAGACACGGCCCAGACUCCUACGGGAGGCAGCAGUGGGGUAUAUUGGACAAUGGGCGCAAGCGUGAUCCAGCAAUGCCGCGUGUGUGAAGAAGGUAUUCGGAUCGUAAAGCACUUUCGAUGGGGACGAUGAUGACGGUACCAGUAGAAGAAGCCCCGGCUAACUUCGUGCCAGCAGCCGCGGUAAU
This 436-nucleotide ribosomal RNA is filed under the name uncultured bacterium. RNAcentral describes it as "bacterial SSU rRNA". It matches the Rfam family "Bacterial small subunit ribosomal RNA", at positions 43 to 524 of the family's 1533-position model. The record is from RNAcentral.